This 90-nucleotide transfer RNA is filed under the name Oligoflexia bacterium. RNAcentral's name for it is "tRNA-Ser". It matches the Rfam family "tRNA". Rfam says of the family: Transfer RNA (tRNA) molecules are approximately 80 nucleotides in length. Their secondary structure includes four short double-helical elements and three loops (D, anti-codon, and T loops). The record is from RNAcentral. Lineage: Bacteria; Pseudomonadati; Bdellovibrionota; Oligoflexia.
GGAGAGAUGGCCGAGUGGCCGAAGGCACACCCUUGCUAAGGGUGCAGGGGAGAAAUCCUCUCGAGAGUUCGAAUCUCUCUCUCUCCGCCA